GACGAACGCUGGCGGCGCGCUUAACACAUGCAAGUCGAACGGAAAGGCCUGCUUUCCCUUGUGGAUUGCGGGUACUCGAGUGGCGAACGGGUGAGUAACACGUGAGUGAUCUGCCCCCAACUUGGGUAUAAGCCUGGGAAACUGGGUCUAAUUCCCGAUAGGACUGCAGGGUGGUGCCUGUGGUGGAAAACGAUUUUCUAGAGGUUGGGGAUGAGCUCGCGGCCUAUCAGCUUGUUGGUGGGGUAAUGGCCUACCAAGGCGGCGACGGGUAGCCGGCCUGAGAGGGUGGACGGCCACAUUGGGACUGAGAUACGGCCCAGACUCCUACGGGAGGCAGCAGUGGGGAAUAGUGCACAAUGGGCGGAAGCCUGAUGCAGCGACGCCGCGUGGGGGAUGACGGCCUUCGGGUUGUAAACUCCUUUCGACCGCGAGGAAGCCACCUGGUUGGAAGGGUGGUGACGGUAGUGGUAGAAGAAGCACCGGCUAACUACGUG
RNAcentral lists this ribosomal RNA (494 nucleotides) under uncultured bacterium. RNAcentral describes it as "partial 16S ribosomal RNA". It matches the Rfam family "Bacterial small subunit ribosomal RNA", at positions 28 to 507 of the family's 1533-position model. The record is from RNAcentral.